GCCAGGCGUAGUGGCGUGCGCCUGUAGUCCCAGCUACUUGGGAGGCUGGGGCAGGAGAAUCACUUGAACCCAGGAGGCGGAGGCUGCAGUGAGCCGAGACUGUGCCACUGUAUUCCAGCCUGGGCAACAGAGUUAGACCCUGCCUCAA
This 148-nucleotide non-coding RNA is filed under the name Gorilla gorilla gorilla (western lowland gorilla). The record is from Rfam by way of RNAcentral. Lineage: Eukaryota; Metazoa; Chordata; Mammalia; Primates; Hominidae.